ACGAACGCUGGCGGCGUGCUUAACACAUGCAAGUCGAACGGGCCUGUCUUCUUUUUUGGGGGUGGGUUGAGUGGCGAACGGGUGAGUAUCACGUGAGUAACCUGCCCUUCGGUCCUGGAUAACCGCUUGAAAGGGCGGCUAAUACGGGGUGGUCCGGUUGGUCCGCAUGGGCUGGUCGGGAUAGAUUCACUGUUUUUGGUGUUUCGGCGGGGGAUGGGCUCGCGGCCUAUCAGCUUGUUGGUGGGGUGAUGGCCUACCAAGGCGGUGACGGGUAGCCGGCCUGAGAGGGUGGGCGGCCACACUGGGACUGAGAUACGGCCCAGACUCCUGCGGGAGGCAGCAGUGGGGGGUAGUGCACAAUGGGCGGAAGCCUGAUGCGGCGACGUCGCGUGAGGGAUGGAGGCCUUCGGGUUGUGAACCUCUGUUUCCGGUGGUGAAGGCCCUGUCCGUGUGGUGGGGUUGACGGUAGCCGGGGAUGAAGCGCCGGCUAACUACGUG
RNAcentral lists this ribosomal RNA (498 nucleotides) under uncultured bacterium. RNAcentral describes it as "partial 16S ribosomal RNA". It matches the Rfam family "Bacterial small subunit ribosomal RNA", at positions 29 to 507 of the family's 1533-position model. The record is from RNAcentral.